This 229-nucleotide ribosomal RNA is filed under the name uncultured bacterium. RNAcentral describes it as "partial 16S ribosomal RNA". It matches the Rfam family "Bacterial small subunit ribosomal RNA", at positions 568 to 796 of the family's 1533-position model. The record is from RNAcentral.
UGCGUAGGCGGGCUAAUAAGUCAGUGGUGAAAUCUUCCGGCUCAACCGGGAACCUGCCAUUGAUACUGUUAGUCUUGAGUUCGGCUGAGGUAGGCGGAAUGUGUAAUGUAGCGGUGAAAUGCUUAGAUAUUACACAGAACACCAAUUGCGUAGGCAGCUUACUAGACCGACACUGACGCUGAGACACGAAAGCGUGGGGAGCGAACAGGAUUAGAUACCCUGGUAGUCC